Molecule: non-coding RNA, 625 nt
Organism: Phasianus colchicus (ring-necked pheasant)
Lineage: Eukaryota; Metazoa; Chordata; Aves; Galliformes; Phasianidae
Source: RefSeq, a predicted model, not a curated record
CAUCCCACUGCGAGGAGGUCCCGGCGGUCCCUUGGGAAAACCGGGUGUCGCGAGCAGGAACACGAGCGGCCACCGGGCUAAUCCGCUCCUCCACCUUCCCGCUAGUACCUCCCCCUUCUGCUGCUUUCUUCAAUAGCAGCCCUUUCUCCAAAUCUCAGGUUACUUCGCUAAAGAGUUCUCAGCCCUAUAGUUUCAGCCCUUGUCUCUGCCUCCAGCUCCUUAAGAGCCACCCAGCCCCAGCGAUCGGAUUGGGCAGCCCGCCUUGACACACCACUGUGCUGAGUGCUUGAGGACGUGUUUCAACAGAUGGUUGGGGUUAGUGUGUGUCAUCACACUCGAGUGGGGAUUAGGGCAGAGAGGCAGCCCGGCUGGAGCUGUGUGGUCUUCCCCAAGUGGGAGCUGCGAGCAAACGAAGAACCACCUAGCUUUGGGGAAGAAGAGGGAGGAACUCAAUCCAGCAGCUCAGAGGGGAAAUAAAAACCCCACACUUUAUUCAGAGCAACAACCUGAUUUGUUUCUUCGCGCUGUAACAGAUCUUCACACUGACUCGCACAUACCUGUGUGCCUAUGAGUUACUGGCCUCCUACUUGUGAAGGAAAUCUCACACUCUCCUCACCGCUUACAG